UACGUAGGUGGCAAGCGUUGUCCGGAUUUACUGGGCGUAAAGGGAGCGUAGGCGGACUUUUAAGUGAGAUGUGAAAUACUCAGGCUCAACCUGGGGGGCUGCAUUUCAAACUGGAAGUCUAGAGUGCAGGAGAGGAGAGUGGAAUUCCUAGUGUAGCGGUGAAAUGCGUAGAGAUUAGGAAGAACACCAGUGGCGAAGGCGACUCUCUGGACUGUAACUGACGCUGAGGCUCGAAAGCGUGGGGAGCAAACAGG
This 254-nucleotide ribosomal RNA is filed under the name uncultured bacterium. RNAcentral's name for it is "partial 16S ribosomal RNA". It matches the Rfam family "Bacterial small subunit ribosomal RNA", at positions 524 to 776 of the family's 1533-position model. The record is from RNAcentral.